Molecule: long non-coding RNA, 788 nt
Filed under: Vigna radiata
Lineage: Eukaryota; Viridiplantae; Streptophyta; Magnoliopsida; Fabales; Fabaceae
Description: long non-coding RNA (VRAD_LNC017298)
Source: RNAcentral
ACUGGAAUGCUGGAGUUGUUGCACCGUGUGAAGUAUGCGUGGAGGCUGGUGGUGUGAAGUUGGAUCUGCCAAACCUUACUGGACGUUGCAUGGGCCGGGAGCUUUUUCUUCUAUAGCCAUGGGCCGUGGAGGCUGAAAGUGUGAAGCUUUUCAAACUGCUGCAGUGCAUGGAGUGUGAAGGCUGGACGUUUCUUCGCAUGGGUGCUUCUGGGCCGCACCUCCAUAAUUUGCUGUUGGACCGUGAAAGCCUCCUUAAGUGCAGCGUGGAUGAACGUGGAGUAGCUUGUUGGAUGCUCCAGCUUCUGGACGUGAGAAGAUAUGUUGGACGCACCUCCCAUGUGACUGCGCAAGUGAUGUUGGCCGUUACCUUUUUAUAAGUUGGACCAGCUGCUGUCCAAGCCUUCACGUGCUGCUGUAAGUGGUCUUUGAAGCUGGCUCGUAUACACUCCCAAGCUUGGACGCUGCCAAUUGAAUUUCAGGCCCAAAAUCAGCAGCUGUCUUUUGUUCCUCUAAGUGGCAGCUGCAUCAUCUCAUUCAUACAUGUGCUGCAGCUAGAAUUUCUGUCUGGACGUGCUAGUGCACAAGCCCGCAAGUGCUUUCUUUCUAACGUUGAAAUAAGUGUGCAGCCAUUUAACUUGUUGGGCCGUGGCAUCUGUUACUUCUGCAGGACAACAUGUUCUUCUCUCCAUUGCACAGCCUAGAGAAAAAAACGUUAAAUAGAGGGCCCCCGCUGCACCUCCUUUUUUACUAAAUCAGCACCCCCACUUUUCUUUAAUCACAAAUGUGCC